This 600-nucleotide ribosomal RNA is filed under the name uncultured bacterium. RNAcentral's name for it is "bacterial SSU rRNA". It matches the Rfam family "Bacterial small subunit ribosomal RNA", at positions 898 to 1499 of the family's 1533-position model. The record is from RNAcentral.
AACUCAAAUGAAUUGACGGGGGCCUGCACAAGCGGUGGAGCAUGUGGUUAAUUCGAAGCAACGCGCAGAACCUUACCAGCGUUUGACAUGUCCGGACGAUUUCCAGAGAUGGAUUUCUUCCCUUCGGGGACUGGAACACAGGUGCUGCAUGGCUGUCGUCAGCUCGUGUCGUGAGAUGUUGGGUUAAGUCCCGCAACGAGCGCAACCCUCGUCCUUAGUUGCCAUCAUUCAGUUGGGCACUCUAAGGAAACCGCCGGUGAUAAGCCGGAGGAAGGUGGGGAUGACGUCAAGUCCUCAUGGCCCUUACGCGCUGGGCUACACACGUGCUACAAUGGCGGUGACAGUGGGCAGCAAUCCCGCAAGGGUGAGCUAAUCUCCAAAAGCCGUCUCAGUUCGGAUUGUUCUCUGCAACUCGAGAGCAUGAAGGCGGAAUCGCUAGUAAUCGCGGAUCAGCAUGCCGCGGUGAAUACGUUCCCAGGCCUUGUACACACCGCCCGUCACACCAUGGGAGUUGGAUUCACCCGAAGGCAGUGCGCUAACCGCAAGGAGGCAGCUGACCACGGUGGGUUCAGCGAAUGGGGUGAAGUCGUAACAAGGUAA